RNAcentral lists this ribosomal RNA (253 nucleotides) under uncultured bacterium. RNAcentral describes it as "partial 16S ribosomal RNA". It matches the Rfam family "Bacterial small subunit ribosomal RNA", at positions 524 to 776 of the family's 1533-position model. The record is from RNAcentral.
UACAGAGGUGGCAAGCGUUGUUCGGAAUUACUGGGCGUAAAGGGCGCGUAGGCGGCCAUCUAAGUCAGACGUGAAAUCCCCCGGCUUAACCUGGGAACUGCGUCUGAUACUGGACGGCUUGAGUAUGGGAGAGGGAUGUAGAAUUCCAGGUGUAGCGGUGAAAUGCGUAGAUAUCUGGAGGAAUACCGGUGGCGAAGGCGGCAUCCUGGACCGAUAUUGACACUGAUGAGCGAAAGCCAGGGGAGCAAACGGG